Molecule: small RNA, 119 nt
Filed under: Magnetospirillum sp. XM-1
Lineage: Bacteria; Pseudomonadati; Pseudomonadota; Alphaproteobacteria; Rhodospirillales; Rhodospirillaceae
Description: yybP-ykoY
Rfam family: Manganese Mn2+ riboswitch aptamer (yybP-ykoY)
About the family: This RNA was originally discovered in E. coli during a large scale screen and was named SraF.
Source: RNAcentral
CGCCCCGUCAUUGGGGAGUAGCCGCCUUCGGUCAUCAGAAGGGGGCGCGUCAACAGACUAGGGCCUUUCGGCCCUUGGCGCGUCCGGCCCAAAAGCUUGGCGAGACCUUUGGCUUCGGA